RNAcentral lists this non-coding RNA (24 nucleotides) under Arabidopsis thaliana (thale cress). The record is from RNAcentral. Lineage: Eukaryota; Viridiplantae; Streptophyta; Magnoliopsida; Brassicales; Brassicaceae.
CGGGCUUCGCUGCGUGUUCUCGCC